UUAGUGCUGGUAGAUGCUGCUUAUUUUUCAAGACGGUUUUAAUAGCUUUAUAUUGAUUUGUAACAAAGCCAGCUUCACUUUGAGAGAACCUAGAUAAUAAUUGUAAAGAAGCUUGGAGUCAUAAUAUAUUUUAACGUUAUAUGUUUGCUGUUCUUCAUCUUUUUAAAUAUGAAGUUUAUCCAUGUUUGUGUUUACAGAGGUCAUGUACACUGUGGUCAACUUUGUGGACGCUGAAGAGGUUUCUGGGUAAAGAUGAUAGAAAUAUAAUGAAGUAACAGUGGAAGCUAAAACAUCAGACUGAUCCAGACACUGAAGAAAUUGAUGUCACUGCAAUCUGGCCAAAAUGAUACAACUAUAUUGAAGUAGUCUACUGUAAUGAAGCUGCAGAACGUCACAGAGACUCUGAGGACAUCAACACAGAAAAUCAAGGCUCCAAAGAGAUGUCUGUCCAGAUGAGGGUGCAUCAACGUUACCUUUGCUGACAAGUAUAUGCUUUACAAUGUAAAACCUAACAGUUAACUUAACUCAAACCAUUUAAGGAAAUCGGUUGCCUUAAAUCAUUAAGUUUUAAAAAAACAUACAUUUGAGUACUGUGAACUUAAGUCUUGUGCAAUUAUGCACUUAUAUUUAGGUAGUGUGAACUUAAAUAUAAGUGCUUAACUGCAUGUGACUCCAUUUGUUUAAGUUCACAGUACUCAAAUCUAUGUGUUUUAAAACUUGAAUGGUUUAAUGCAACCGGUUUUCUUAAAUGUGAGAAAUUACAGUGUUACAGUGAGAAAUGUUUGAAUAAUUCCAAGUCAGAGCUCUGUGAUUGAUUCUACACUGCAAAAAAAUCACUUUCUAACACUUUUUAUCUUGUUUUCAGUAGAAAAACUAAAAAUUCUUAAAUCAAGAUGUAUUUUCUUGAUGAGCAAAAUUACCUUAGAAAAUAUGUCUAGUUUUUAG
This is a non-coding RNA of Misgurnus anguillicaudatus (oriental weatherfish), 945 nucleotides long. NCBI's taxonomy places the organism in Eukaryota, Metazoa, Chordata, Actinopteri, Cypriniformes, Cobitidae. The record is from RefSeq and is a predicted model, not a curated record.